UUGGCGUAAAAGAGCUCGUAGGCGGUUUGUCGCGUCUGCCGUGAAAGUCCGGGGCUCAACUCCGGAUCUGCGGUGGUACGGGCCAGACUAGAGUGAUGUAGGGGAGACUGGAAUUCCUGGUGUAGCGGUGAAAUGCGCAGAUAUCAGGAGGAACACCGAUGGCGAAGGCAGGUCUCUGGGCAUUAACUGACGCUGAGGAGCGAAAGCAUGGGAGCGAACAGGAUUAGAUACCCUGGUAGUCCAUGCCGUAAACGUUGGGCACUAGGUGUGGGGGACAUUCCACGUUUUCCGCGCCGUAGCUAACGCAUUAAGUGCCCCGCCUGGGGAGUACGGCCGCAAGGCUAAAACUCAAAGGAAUUGACGGGGGCCCGCACAAGCGGCGGAGCAUGCGGAUUAAUUCGAUGCAACGCGAAGAACCUUACCAAGGCUUGACAUGAACUGGAAAUACCUGGAAACAGGUGCCCCGCUUGCGGUCGGUUUACAGGUGGUGCAUGGUUGUCGUCAGCUCGUGUCGUGAGAUGUUGGGUUAAGUCCCGCAACGAGCGCAACCCUCGUUCUAUGUUGCCAGCACGUUAUGGUGGGGACUCAUAGGAGACUGCCGGGGUCAACUCGGAGGAAGGGGAGGACGACGUCAAAUCAUCAUGCCCCUUAUGUCUUGGGCUUCACGCAUGCUACAAUGGCCGGUACAAUGGGUUGUGAUACUGUGAGGUGGAGCUAAUCCCAAAAAGCCGGUCUCAGUUCGGAUUGGGGUCUGCAACUCGACCCCAUGAAGUCGGAGUCGCUAGUAAUCGCAGAUCAGC
This 800-nucleotide ribosomal RNA is filed under the name Arthrobacter sp. UYIF19. RNAcentral's name for it is "bacterial SSU rRNA". It matches the Rfam family "Bacterial small subunit ribosomal RNA", at positions 555 to 1353 of the family's 1533-position model. Lineage: Bacteria; Bacillati; Actinomycetota; Actinomycetes; Micrococcales; Micrococcaceae. The record is from RNAcentral.